This is a long non-coding RNA of Sitophilus oryzae (rice weevil), 698 nucleotides long. RefSeq lists it as uncharacterized. The record is from RefSeq and is a predicted model, not a curated record. NCBI's taxonomy places the organism in Eukaryota, Metazoa, Arthropoda, Insecta, Coleoptera, Curculionidae. The transcript has 3 exons.
CUUUUCUACAUUUAUUUAUCGACGACCAUCGUGUCGUUCGUUUCGUCCGAAAGUGAGUGCAUUGCAAUGAGAGUGUUUCAAAAAGUAAAGAGUCGGAUGUAACAUUUGUGGCCAAAUAUGCGAGGGAUAACCCUAUUAUUUUAAAUAAAGGGAAAACUCCGGCAAUAAAUAAAAAAAAACGACGUCUUAGACACGCUUAAACAACAUUAUGAGAAUAAUUUUGGAAAACCAACAAACUCCAAAAAAUUAUUAAAAAAAAUUAAUAACCUGAAGGCGGUAGUAAAAAAAAACUGAUGCCAACAUAACUGGCAAUAAAAAGAAAAAGCUAAGUGCAGCAGAACAACUCAUGUACACGGCACUACAGGGGGAUCAAGAGGAGUGCAAUCCUGUUCUUUUCAAAAUACCUGGACAUGUUGCAGUCGGAAUCCCUUCUGAUGAACAAAAAGAAAAACAAUCCGAUGAAGUGGCAGGUCCGUCAGUCGCUUCAACUUCAACACUGCCACCACCGUUACCUGCACGUCCAAAGCGACAAAAAAUUGUAGAACAAUACGAAACGGAGGAAACACGUACGUUAAGCACCACGGAACUACAAAGAUUGGUGCUUUUGAAGCAACUGCAUGUUCUAAAUCUCAAAAAGGCAAAACUGGAGAAAGAAUUAAAUAAAGAUCAUGUUCUAAGAGAAGGAGAGAAAACGUAUA